Non-coding RNA from Pelobates cultripes (western spadefoot toad), 1852 nucleotides. The record is from the annotation of a GenBank genome assembly. NCBI's taxonomy places the organism in Eukaryota, Metazoa, Chordata, Amphibia, Anura, Pelobatidae.
CGCCUUUUCCCUCUUCAUGUCUCUCAUGCUGAUGGCUGCCUCCUACAGCUUUCACCUAACGGCUCGUGUGCGCUCGAUCACUGUCACUGCGGCGAACAGCGCACCGAUUCCUGAUUACCCAACCACUCACUCACUCACUGACCCACAUCUGAUUACACACUCACUCACUGACCGACAUCUGAUUACACACUCACUCACUGACCGACAUCUGAUUACACACUCACUCACUGACCCACAUCUGAUUACACACUCACUGACCAACGUAAUUGACUCCUGUUUAUCCGCUUACUCACUGACUGACUCCAACUCAACUACUCACCCACCUCUGUUUACCCAUUGAUUCACAGACUUACUCCAGAGAGGGGUUUGUGAAACCUUUUAGUUGAUAAAUGACUAGUUGCAUUGUGUGCUUAGCAGUGCAUGGAAUUGAAACCUGUAAAGAUAGGUCAAAACUUUAUGGAUCCUGGACUAUCACACCUAUAGGAGCUUAGAGGAUGUUAAUUUACAAAACCAUGGCUUUUAAAGGACCACUAUAGGCACCCUGACCACUUCAGCUCAAUGAAGUGGUCUAGGUGCCAGGUCCAUCCACAGGCAUAGGCAACCUUCAGCACUCCAGAUGUUUUGGACUACACUUACCAUGAUACUUUGCUUGCAUUUUGGGUGUGAGAGCAUUAUGGGGGAUGUAGUCCACAACAUCUGGAGUGCUGCAGGUUGCCUAUCCCUAGGAUUAACCCUUUCUGCUGUAAACUGAAACUGCUAUGUUUCUAAAUGGGUUAACCAGCCUCUAGUGGCUGUCUUAUUGACAGCUGCUAGAGGCACUUCCGCGCUUCUCACUGUGAUUUUUCACAGUGGGAAGAUGCCAGCGUCCGUAGGAAAAGUUGCUCCACACUUCUUCACUUAUCUUGAUAUGUGCACAGGGGCACAAUCAUGGAGGAACUAGAAAGGUCUCAAUUUUAUGCAUCUUUUAGAAAUCUAACUGAAUACAAAUUAGUGAGGCGAAAAUAGUCUGGGUUAUGUUAGAAUUUAAUAAUUGCACAGUAACACGUAUAGGUGUGAUUGUAUAGGCCCCCUGGACAAAUAGAAGCAUUAGAUAAUAUGCAUUGAAGGGGUAAAUUAUAUCAUAAGUGACUUUCAUCUUCUGCUGUGUACUGGAAGACCAAAAUAGCUGCUUGUGCGAGAAGUACACAUUUUGUAAAUACAACUCACAAGGAGGUCAUACUAGAUUUAGUGUUAACAAAUGGAGAUUUGGUAUCAGAUAUUACUGUAGGUGAAAGUUUAGGAUCUAGUGAUCAUCAGUCAGUGUGCUUUAAUCUGAAAGCUGACUAAGUCAUACAACACAAAAACAAGUUUUAGCUUUUUGAAAACAAGAUUUUUCUAAAUCUAGAAUAUGCAUAAAGGUGUCAUCAGACUGGAGCAGUUUUUAACCCCUACCCAACUUCUGACGUACCAGGUACAUCUGGCAAAAAAAACAGUUGUUACAAACCUCGGAUAUACCUGGGAAGUCCGCGCCACAUUAUUCACUUACCUGAUCGUGAUGUGGGGACUUGCCUGGCAUCCCAGGCAGUCCCCCUGCGGCUGAUCCGGCCCCCCUUGCCCAUGUGAUCGCUGGGGUCAAAAUACAUUUAGAAUGACGUUAUAAAUACAUAUAUCCCCUUAAUGAGAAAAAAACGGUCAUUAAGGACUGCGGACAAAAUAGGAGCCCUGGACCAGCGACCCUGGUCAAAGGGAACUGCCAGAGACCCUGGCUGUCCCCUUGCAGCAGCUUUGGCCACCCCAGCCCUUUAGGGCCAUGUGAUUACCCGCAAUAGGAGUCUAUGGAGCUCCCAGCAGGGGAACUGUCAGGCAAUCCCCC